Molecule: ribosomal RNA, 483 nt
Filed under: uncultured bacterium
Lineage: Bacteria
Description: SSU rRNA
Rfam family: Bacterial small subunit ribosomal RNA
Source: RNAcentral
AGGACGAACGCUGGCGGCGUGCUUAACACAUGCAAGUCGAGCGGAAAGGCUUCCUUCGGGAAGUACUCGAGCGGCGAACGGGUGAGUAACACGUGGAUAACCAACCUCUUGCACUGGAAUACCCCGGGGAAACUCGGAUCAAUGCCAGAUAAAGUGCGGUGCUGCAGGGUGCCGUACCAAAGAUAGCUUCGGCCUUCGGCGAGAGACGGGUCCGCGGCCCAUUAGCUUGUUGGCGGGGUAAAGGCCCACCAAGGCUACGAUGGGUAGCUGGUCUGAGAGGAUGAUCAGCCACAUUGGGACUGAGACACGGCCCAAACUCCUACGGGAGGCAGCAGUGGGGAAUAUUGGACAAUGGGCGCAAGCCUGAUCCAGCCAUGCCGCGUGAGUGAUGAAGGCCCUAGGGUUGUAAAGCUCUUUUGUGCGGGAAGAUAAUGACGGUACCGCAAGAAUAAGCCCGGCUAACUUCGUGCCAGCAGCCGCGGU